GAUGAACGCUGGCGGCGUGCCUAAUACAUGCAAGUCGAGCGAACAGACGAGGAGCUUGCUCCUCUGACGUUAGCGGCGGACGGGUGAGUAACACGUGGAUAACCUACCUAUAAGACUGGGAUAACUUCGGGAAACCGGAGCUAAUACCGGAUAAUAUAUUGAACCGCAUGGUUCAAUAGUGAAAGACGAUUUUGCUGUCACUUAUAGAUGGAUCCGCGCCGCAUUAGCUAGUUGGUAAGGUAACGGCUUACCAAGGCAACGAUGCGUAGCCGACCUGAGAGGGUGAUCGGCCACACUGGAACUUAGACACGGUCCAGACUCCUACGGGAGGCAGCAGUAGGGAAUCUUCCGCAAUGGGCGAAAGCUUGACGGAGCAACGCCGCGUGAGUGAUGAAGGUCUUCGGAUCGUAAAACUCUGUUAUUAGGGAAGAACAAAUGUGUAAGUAACUAUGCACGUCUUGACGGUACCUAAUCAGAAAGCCACGGCUAACUACGUG
This 497-nucleotide ribosomal RNA is filed under the name uncultured bacterium. RNAcentral describes it as "partial 16S ribosomal RNA". It matches the Rfam family "Bacterial small subunit ribosomal RNA", at positions 28 to 507 of the family's 1533-position model. The record is from RNAcentral.